UACGAAGGGUGCAAACGUUGCUCGGAAUUACUGGGCGUAAAGCGCGCGUAGGCGGUUUGAUAAGUCGAUUGUGAAAUCCCCGGGCUCAACCUGGGAAUUGCAGUCGAGACUGUCAGACUAGAGUGUGGGAGAGGGUGGUGGAAUUCCCGGUGUAGCGGUGAAAUGCGUAGAUAUCGGGAGGAACAUCAGUGGCGAAGGCGACCGCCUGGCCCAACACUGACGCUGAGGUGCGAAAGCGUGGGUAGCAAACAGG
This 253-nucleotide ribosomal RNA is filed under the name uncultured bacterium. Its description in RNAcentral is "partial 16S ribosomal RNA". It matches the Rfam family "Bacterial small subunit ribosomal RNA", at positions 524 to 776 of the family's 1533-position model. The record is from RNAcentral.